RNAcentral lists this ribosomal RNA (475 nucleotides) under Trithemis werneri. RNAcentral describes it as "partial 16S ribosomal RNA". It matches the Rfam family "Bacterial large subunit ribosomal RNA", at positions 1854 to 2591 of the family's 2925-position model. The record is from RNAcentral. Lineage: Eukaryota; Metazoa; Arthropoda; Insecta; Odonata; Libellulidae.
CUGACCUGCCCAGUGAUUAAUUUAACGGCCGCGGUAUAUUGACCGUGCAAAGGUAGCAUAAUCAUUAGUCUUUUAAUAGAGGGCUGGAAUGAAAGGUUUAACGAGGAAUUUACUGUCUCAUUUUAUUUGUUUUAAAAUUUAAUUUUUUAGUUAAAAAGCUAAAAUUUAAUUGGAAGACGAGAAGACCCUAUAGAUCUUUAUAUUAAUAUAUAUAUUUAUUAUUAUAUAAAUAUAAAUAUUUAUAUUCAUAUUUUGUUGGGGUGACAAAAAUAUACAAUUAACUUUUUUAUUUAUUUAACAUUAAUUUAUGAUUAUUUGAUCCAUUAUUAGUGAUUAUUAGAUUAAGUUACCUUAGGGAUAACAGCGUAAUCCUCCUCCAGAGUUCAUAUUUACAGGAUGGGCUUGCGACCUCGAUGUUGGAUUAAGAUAAUAAUUAGGUGUAGCCGCUUAAUUUAUAGGUCUGUUCGACCUUUAA